Molecule: non-coding RNA, 27 nt
Filed under: Rattus norvegicus (Norway rat)
Lineage: Eukaryota; Metazoa; Chordata; Mammalia; Rodentia; Muridae
Source: RNAcentral
UUUCCAUCAUGCAGUGACCAGUUCUAG